RNAcentral lists this ribosomal RNA (1277 nucleotides) under Cellulosimicrobium cellulans. Its description in RNAcentral is "bacterial SSU rRNA". It matches the Rfam family "Bacterial small subunit ribosomal RNA", at positions 162 to 1451 of the family's 1533-position model. The record is from RNAcentral. Lineage: Bacteria; Bacillati; Actinomycetota; Actinomycetes; Micrococcales; Promicromonosporaceae.
GCUAAUACCGGAUAUGAGCUACCUUCGCAUGGGGGUGGUUGGAAAGUUUUUCGGUCAGGGAUGGGCUCGCGGCCUAUCAGCUUGUUGGUGGGGUGAUGGCCUACCAAGGCGACGACGGGUAGCCGGCCUGAGAGGGCGACCGGCCACACUGGGACUGAGACACGGCCCAGACUCCUACGGGAGGCAGCAGUGGGGAAUAUUGCACAAUGGGCGCAAGCCUGAUGCAGCGACGCCGCGUGAGGGAUGAAGGCCUUCGGGUUGUAAACCUCUUUCAGCAGGGAAGAAGCGCAAGUGACGGUACCUGCAGAAGAAGCGCCGGCUAACUACGUGCCAGCAGCCGCGGUAAUACGUAGGGCGCAAGCGUUGUCCGGAAUUAUUGGGCGUAAAGAGCUCGUAGGCGGUCUGUCGCGUCUGGUGUGAAAACUCGAGGCUCAACCUCGAGCUUGCAUCGGGUACGGGCAGACUAGAGUGCGGUAGGGGAGACUGGAAUUCCUGGUGUAGCGGUGGAAUGCGCAGAUAUCAGGAGGAACACCGAUGGCGAAGGCAGGUCUCUGGGCCGCAACUGACGCUGAGGAGCGAAAGCAUGGGGAGCGAACAGGAUUAGAUACCCUGGUAGUCCAUGCCGUAAACGUUGGGCACUAGGUGUGGGGCUCAUUCCACGAGUUCCGUGCCGCAGCAAACGCAUUAAGUGCCCCGCCUGGGGAGUACGGCCGCAAGGCUAAAACUCAAAGGAAUUGACGGGGGCCCGCACAAGCGGCGGAGCAUGCGGAUUAAUUCGAUGCAACGCGAAGAACCUUACCAAGGCUUGACAUGCACGGGAAGCCACCAGAGAUGGUGGUCUCUUUGGACACUCGUGCACAGGUGGUGCAUGGUUGUCGUCAGCUCGUGUCGUGAGAUGUUGGGUUAAGUCCCGCAACGAGCGCAACCCUCGUCCCAUGUUGCCAGCGGGUUAUGCCGGGGACUCAUGGGAGACUGCCGGGGUCAACUCGGAGGAAGGUGGGGAUGACGUCAAAUCAUCAUGCCCCUUAUGUCUUGGGCUUCACGCAUGCUACAAUGGCCGGUACAAAGGGCUGCGAUGCCGUAAGGUGGAGCGAAUCCCAAAAAGCCGGUCUCAGUUCGGAUUGGGGUCUGCAACUCGACCCCAUGAAGUCGGAGUCGCUAGUAAUCGCAGAUCAGCAACGCUGCGGUGAAUACGUUCCCGGGCCUUGUACACACCGCCCGUCAAGUCACGAAAGUCGGUAACACCCGAAGCCCAUGGCCCAACCCUUGUGGGGGGA